This 146-nucleotide unclassified non-coding RNA is filed under the name soil metagenome. RNAcentral's name for it is "partial internal transcribed spacer 1". The record is from RNAcentral.
UAAUAAGUGUUUUAUGGCACUUCUUAAAUCCAUAUCCACCUUGUGUGCAAUGUCAGUCGAUCUUCUUUCAUGGAAGAGUGACCAAACAUCAACCUUUAUUUUUUAACUCGUUGUCUGAAAAAUAUUAUGAAUAAACAAUUCAAAUA